UAAAGAGCUCGUAGGCGGCUUGGCAAGUCAGAUGUGAAACCCUCAGGCUCAACCUGGGGAUGCCAUCUGAUACUGCUAUGGCUAGAGUAUGGUAGGGGACUACGGAAUUCCUGGUGUAGCGGUGAAAUGCGCAAAUAUCAGGAGGAACACCAGUGGCAAAGGCGGUAGUCUGGGCCAUUACUGACGCUGAGGAGCGAAACCGUGGGGACCGAACAGGAUUAGAUACCCUGGUAGUCCACGCCGUAAACGUUGGGCACUAGGUGUGGGGUCUAUUUCGACGGACUCCGUGCCGUAGCUAACGCAUUAAGUGCCCCGCCUGGGGAGUACGGCCGCAAGGCUAA
Molecule: ribosomal RNA, 341 nt
Filed under: uncultured Actinomycetes bacterium
Lineage: Bacteria; Bacillati; Actinomycetota; Actinomycetes
Description: bacterial SSU rRNA
Rfam family: Bacterial small subunit ribosomal RNA
Source: RNAcentral